Molecule: long non-coding RNA, 358 nt
Organism: Xiphophorus couchianus (Monterrey platyfish)
Lineage: Eukaryota; Metazoa; Chordata; Actinopteri; Cyprinodontiformes; Poeciliidae
Exons: 2
Source: RefSeq, a predicted model, not a curated record
UCGCCUGGACGACCCACAGACUCAUGAUGUUCCCUCUGAGCCAGGAGGAGAGCGCACUGCAGUGUCCAGGCCGACCCACCCACUCAACACGCAACUCUCCCUAAAGAAGCGCUUUGCACGUGUCGGAGGCAGCGGCGUUUCCUGAUGGGACGGAAGCGCAUCUAAAACACCGACGGAUGAAUCGGACAUGAACAAAAUCAGAAAUCGAUCGAUCAAUCACCAAAAGAAGUUAUCGACCCUUUAAAGAACAUUUCUCCACAGAAAAUUCAAGAAAGUUUCAAGAAUUUUAAAAACUUUUUCAGCACCAAACAGAGAUAAAAACUAUGCAAAUUAACUAAAAAAGACAGUUUAAAUGAAC